AGUGAACGCUGGCGGUAGGCCUAACACAUGCAAGUCGAACGGCAGCACAGUAAGAGCUUGCUCUUACGGGUGGCGAGUGGCGGACGGGUGAGGAAUACAUCGGAAUCUACUUUUUCGUGGGGGAUAACGUAGGGAAACUUACGCUAAUACCGCAUACGACGUACGGGUGAAAGCAGGGGAUCUUCGGACCUUGCGCGAUUGAAUGAGCAGAUGCCGGAUUAGCUAGUUGGCGGGGUAAAGGCCCACCAAGGCGACGAUCCGUAGCUGGUCUGAGAGGAUGGUCGGCCACACUGGAACUGAGACACGGUCCAGACUCCUACGGGGGGCAGCGGUGGGGAAUGUUCGGAAAUGGGGGAAAUCUGCAGCAAGAAAUGCCGCGGGGGGAAAAAAGGCCUCCGGGUGGUAAAACCCUUUUUGUGGGAAAAAAAAUCGGGGGAUGAAACACCCCAGGUUUGGCCGGAACCCAAAAAAAAAGCACCGGCUACCUCGUG
This 491-nucleotide ribosomal RNA is filed under the name uncultured bacterium. Its description in RNAcentral is "partial 16S ribosomal RNA". It matches the Rfam family "Bacterial small subunit ribosomal RNA", at positions 29 to 507 of the family's 1533-position model. The record is from RNAcentral.